Molecule: ribosomal RNA, 231 nt
Filed under: uncultured bacterium
Lineage: Bacteria
Description: partial 16S ribosomal RNA
Rfam family: Bacterial small subunit ribosomal RNA
Source: RNAcentral
CGGACGGGUGAGUAAUGUCUGGGAAACUGCCUGAUGGAGGGGGAUAACUACUGGAAACGGUAGCUAAUACCGCAUAACGUCGCAAGACCAAAGAGGGGGACCUUGGGCCUCUUGCCAUCGGAUGUGCCCAGAUGGGAUUAGCUAGUAGGUGGGGUAAAGGCUCACCUAGGCGACGAUCCCUAGCUGGUCUGAGAGGAUGACCAGCCACACUGGAACUGAGACACGGCCCAG